This 831-nucleotide long non-coding RNA is filed under the name Physcomitrium patens. RNAcentral describes it as "long non-coding RNA (PPAT_LNC006157)". Lineage: Eukaryota; Viridiplantae; Streptophyta; Bryopsida; Funariales; Funariaceae. The record is from RNAcentral.
UUGUCAAUCCCCGACAGAGGCACCAAAAUGUGAUUAUCAUUUUACUUAUUCUAUAAUUCCUUUUAGAAUAAAGCUGUAUAGGACAAUUCAAACACAAGAAAAGACUAAGUACAUGAGCUUAACUUGUUAGGGUCACUCAAUUAACUGUAUUUCGAACCUCUAAAACACUAAGAAAUACUACAAUGCUUCCUCCUAAUAACAAUACUCCUUCAUCAACUCAUAACCACAUUGUGCAACCCUACACUCUCAAAAGACCACUCAAAACUCAAUAAAUUCCAUCCAACAUUAGGAAUAAUAGACUUCACUCCAAUCAAUCUGAAUUCACACAAUUUUUGUAAUCACAGACUUCUUUUGUCGAAACACACACAACUCUCAAUAAACAACAAUCAUAAUCUUCCAUCCAUAAUCAAUUUUCCAAUAACUUCUCAUAUAAUUCAAUCAUAUAAUAUUCCAAUCACAUAACCAAUAACUCAUAAAUCAAUCUCUAAUUUAUUCCAUAGACUCACUUCUCAGUAUUCAAAAACUAUCCAUUACUCUUCAAUAACAAAAAAACAAAAAAAACAAAAAGGAAACAUCAAGCUUAACCCCGAUUCAUGACUAUCACAGUCUGACAUCCUAAUAAACUUCUAAAACUCCUAUAUAAUUGCUAUUGAUUUCUAGAUUCUAAUUAUAAUCCUAUAAUAACCGCUUUUAAUAACUGAAUCAAUCAUCCGUCCUCCUAAAUUGACUAUUUUAUAGACUAUUAAUCUAUUUUACCAAUAUCUUACAAAAACGAACUAAUAUUUAUUCUAUGCUUAGUAACUCCCUUCAAAUAAAAUAUUUAGAACAUUA